AUUUAAAAUAAUACUAUAUUUAAUAGUUAAUUCGUUUUUAAUUAAAAUAUUAUUUAUUUAUAAAAAUUAUAAAUUGUUUUAGUAAAUUUUUAUUGUGAAAGAUUGUAUAAAAUAAAAAAAAGAAAAAUUAAAUUUUUGUACCUUGUGUAUCAGGGUGAAUUAAAAUAAAAAAUAAAUUUUUUUAUCUCGAAUCUAAAAGAGCUAAAGUUAAAUGUAUUUAAUUGUUUUAUAAAUUUUUAUAAUUUAAUUUUUGAAGUGAAAUGUUAUUCGUUUUUAGAUAUAUCUAGUUUUUUAAGAAAUGAAUUUAAUUCAGAAUUUAAUAAAAAAUUUAUUGUUUUAUAAUAUGUUUUUAUUAAUAUUUAAUAUAUUUAGGGUUAAGCUUAAAUAUAAAUUUUUAUUAUAUUUUUAAAAGUUGAUGAAUUUUUAGGAUUAAUAUUGUCUUUAAUAAUUAAUUUUAUAUUUAAUUUAUUAAAUUUAAUUUUUAUUUUUGUAUAAAUUUUAUAUUAAAAUAUUUUAUUUAACUAUAUUUUAUAGGAAAUUAUGAUUUAAUUAGUAAAUUGUUGUUGUAAAUUAUUUAAUAGCUGGCAGGUUAAUUAAAGGAACUCGGCAAAUUUGUUUUCCACCUGUUUAUUAAAAACAUGUCUUUUUGAAAAUAAUUUAAAGUCGUGCCUGCCCAAUGAAAUAUUUUAAUGGCCGCAGUAUUUUGACUGUGCUAAGGUAGCAUAAUCAUUAGUCUUUUAAUUAAAGACUUGUAUGAAAGGUUUAAUGAGAAAACAUCUGUCUCUAAUUAAUUUUAAUAGAAUUUUAUUUUUAAGUUAGAAAGCUUAAUUGAAUUUGAAAGACGAUAAGACCCUAUAGAGUUUAAUUAAUUUUUAAGUAAUUUUUUAUUGGAAAAUAUUUUAUUUUGUUUAAUUUUAAUUUAGUUGGGGUGAUUAAAAAAUUAAGUAAACUUUUUUUUUUUGUCAACAUUAAUUUAUGAAUAUUUGAACCAUUUUUAUUGAUUAAAAGAUUAAAUUACCUUAGGGAUAACAGCGUAAUUUUUUUUGAGAGUUCUUAUCGAAAAGAAAGGUUGCGACCUCGAUGUUGGAUUAAGAUAAAAUUUUGGUGAAGAGGCUAAAAAUUUAGGUCUGUUCGACCUUUUAAAUCUUACAUGAUCUGAGUUUAAACCGGCGUGAGCCAGGUUGGUUUCUAUCUUCAAAAAAUAAGAUAAUUUAGUACGAAAGGACCAGUUUAAUUUAAUUUAAAAUUUUAAUUUGAAGAACUUU
This 1265-nucleotide ribosomal RNA is filed under the name Chrysochares punctatus. RNAcentral's name for it is "16S ribosomal RNA". The stretch from base 1025 to 1183 matches the Rfam family "Archaeal large subunit ribosomal RNA", at positions 2542 to 2701 of the family's 2987-position model. The record is from RNAcentral. Lineage: Eukaryota; Metazoa; Arthropoda; Insecta; Coleoptera; Chrysomelidae.